RNAcentral lists this ribosomal RNA (379 nucleotides) under uncultured bacterium. Its description in RNAcentral is "bacterial SSU rRNA". It matches the Rfam family "Bacterial small subunit ribosomal RNA", at positions 30 to 390 of the family's 1533-position model. The record is from RNAcentral.
AGUGAACGCUGGCGGCAGGCCUAACACAUGCAAGUCGAGCGGCAGCGGGUUCCCGCGAGGGGAUGCCGGCGAGCGGCGGACGGGUGAGGAACACAUCGGAAUCUGCCUGGUUGUGGGGGGAUAACGUAGGGAAACUUACGCUAAUACCGCAUGCGACCCUGAGUCGACGGACUGGGGGUGAAAGUGAGGGACCUUCGGGCCUCACGCGACCAGAUGAGCCGAUGUCGGAUUAGCUAGUUGGCGGGGUAACGGCCCGCCAAGGCGACGAUCCGUAGCUGGUCUGAGAGGAUGAUCAGCCACACUGGGACUGAGACACGGCCCAGACUCCUACGGGAGGCAGCAGUGGGGAAUCUUGGACAAUGGGCGCAAGCCUGAUCCA